Molecule: ribosomal RNA, 492 nt
Filed under: uncultured bacterium
Lineage: Bacteria
Description: partial 16S ribosomal RNA
Rfam family: Bacterial small subunit ribosomal RNA
Source: RNAcentral
AGUGAACGCUGGCGGUAGGCCUAACACAUGCAAGUCGAACGGCAGCACAGUAAGAGCUUGCUCUUACGGGUGGCGAGUGGCGGACGGGUGAGGAAUACAUCGGAAUCUACUUUUUCGUGGGGGAUAACGUAGGGAAACUUACGCUAAUUCCGCAUACGACCUACGGGUGAAAGCAGGGGAUCUUCGGACCUUGCGCGAUUGAAUGAGCCGAUGUCGGAUUAGCUAGUUGGCGGGGUAAAGGCCCACCAAGGCGACGAUCCGUAGCUGGUCAGAGAGGAUGAUCAGCCACACUGGAACUGAGACACGGUCCAGACUCCUACGGGAGGCAGCAGUGGGGAAUAGUGGACAAUGGGCGCAAGCCUGAUCCAGCCAUACCGCGUGGGUGAAGAAGGCCUUCGGGUUGUAAAGCUCUUUUGUUUGGAAAGAAAAGCAGCAGGUUAAUACCCCGCGGUUCUGACGGUACCCAAAGAAUAAGCACCGGCUAACUUCGUG